RNAcentral lists this long non-coding RNA (1076 nucleotides) under Triticum aestivum (bread wheat). RNAcentral's name for it is "long non-coding RNA (TAES_LNC026117)". Lineage: Eukaryota; Viridiplantae; Streptophyta; Magnoliopsida; Poales; Poaceae. The record is from RNAcentral.
UAAUAUGUGUUGUCAAAUGUUAUUCAAGAUUCGAUUGGCUCUGAUGCAAUCACCUUUCAAUUCUAUCUUUCUGAAUAUUUUUUUAACUGUAUUUCUGAACAUUUUCAAAUGUCUUGAAUAGGUUGGCAUAAGUACAGGGCGCAUACAUGCUCGUGGACCUGUUGGCGUCGACGGUCUUUUAACCACUCGGUGGUAGGUCUUUAUGCCAGUUGUUUUUCUGCAAUUCUUCAGCAAAUAAUAGAACUGUACUUUCAUAUGAGGAAGUGUUCUGCGUGCACCAUCUUCCCCUAUAGUUUCUUCAGUUUACGCAAGAUACUUCCUGGUUCUAAAGCAUUAGUACCUUUACUUAAUAUGUAUGCAUUGCUCUCCUCAUUAUAUAGCAUUCUGCGAGGGAGUGGACAAGUAGUGAACGGCGACAAGGGAGUUGUGUACACCCACAAGGAUCUUCCUUUGCAAUGAGGGUAAGACACGGUUUACGUUGCUUCGCUUCGAUAGAAUGCUUACUCACUGGAGUAUUUUACUGACCUUCAGCUCCUAUGUUUGCAGGUAGAGGAUUCCUGCUGUAGAGCAAUUUUUGUAGAAGAAUCCUCUUCAAAGCCCCCCUUCUCUCUGUGCGAGGAAUGAAGGAAGACAAGAGAGCAUUGUUGUUACUAUGUUUGCAGGUAGAGGAUUCCUGCUGUAGAGCAAUUUUUGUAGAAGAAUCCUCUUCAAAGCCCCCCUUCUCUCUGUGCGAGGAAUGAAGGAAGACAAGAGAGCAUUGUUGUUACUAUGUCGCUAUCUAGUUCCGUGAUUGUUCGUGUACAAUGAUUUAUCCAUACAAUGUCGUAGUUAUGGCACUAGUUGUUGUAACUGUAGAAUUGCAUCGGUACAUCUAUGCUACAUAUAUGAAGUAGCUGUACUGUUUCUGAUGAAGUCUCAAAUCCGUUGUCAUGUUGUCUUUCUAUGGCAAAGAGCACCUGAAAUGAAUGUAAUCGGCAUACAGUCUUCUUGAAAUGGCGCUUGACAUCAAGGGGCAGUGGCUGUAGAACCGCUGGCCUCGCAGCUUGCAAGCUGAGACAUCUGUUCGAAUCCUCUUG